RNAcentral lists this unclassified non-coding RNA (332 nucleotides) under soil metagenome. RNAcentral describes it as "partial contains 5.8S ribosomal RNA, internal transcribed spacer 2, and large subunit ribosomal RNA". The stretch from base 1 to 120 matches the Rfam family "5.8S ribosomal RNA", at positions 35 to 154 of the family's 154-position model. The record is from RNAcentral.
GAUGAAGAACGCAGCGAAAUGCGAUAAGUAGUGUGAAUUGCAGAAUUCAGUGAAUCAUCGAAUCUUUGAACGCACAUUGCGCCCUUUGGUAUUCCUUAGGGCAUGCCCGUUCGAGCGUCAUUUAAACCUUCAAGCUAAGCUUGGUGUUGGGUGACUGUCCGCUUCACGGCGGACUCGCCUCAAAAUUAUUGGCGGCCGGUACAUUGGCUUCGAGCGCAGCAGAAACGCGAACUCGGGCCCGUCGUAUUGGCUCCCAGAAGCUAUCUUCACAAUUUUGACCUCGGAUCAGGUAGGGAUACCCGCUGAACUUAAGCAUAUCAAUAAGCGGAGGA